This 633-nucleotide ribosomal RNA is filed under the name Triticum aestivum (bread wheat). Its description in RNAcentral is "partial small subunit ribosomal RNA". The record is from RNAcentral. Lineage: Eukaryota; Viridiplantae; Streptophyta; Magnoliopsida; Poales; Poaceae.
AUGAAUCUUUGCGUCGUGGUCCACGGCUCAUCCGUUAUCUUCCCAAACGGUGCCCUCCGGGGAUAUUUUAAUGUUUCUGCACUGCGUCGCCAGCACCACCCCUUGCUCUCGAAGAUUCAUCUACGCCCUGCUCCUCACCCUUAUCCUCUCCUUGGCGACCAUGGCUGCUUCUUCUUCAUCAUCACAGCCAGACGAAGUGCUGCCACUGAUUCCUUGCGCCAAAUGCUUAAGGUGGUCACCUUCGUCUCUCGCAGCGGAACUCGGUACUACAAGUGCGUCAGGAAAGAUGCUGGGCUAUGCCAGUUCAUGAGAUCCACCAAGACGUACCUGCCGGAGCUGACUCGUCAUGGCCUGUUGCAGCCGUAUGUGCUGCAGGCUGCAUCACUCCCUUGCCGUCCACCCAUCCCGCCGUCUGGUCCUCUCCAGCGGAGACUAAGGCGAGAGCACAACUUCGACAACGGCGGACAGGCGGAGAUUCAGCCUGCCCAUGUAAGCAACCAGCCACCGCUGCAGCAGUCCACUGUUGCCCGCGCGGCGCCUCAAUGCUGCUUCACUGACAGCCAGCGUACGGCGCUGCUCCUGGCCAGAACCAACUUCAUCCUCGUCGUCGCCAUGCUGAAGCAGCUAAUUUAG